UAUGGCAUGGAGAUUAAGAAGAGUAACCUUAAAUACUUUUUAGAGAGAUGAUGGCAGGUGUAAAUCAUUAAGUGAUUAUGGUGAAGGGAGCUUUUGAAUGCCUUUAGUUUGAAAGAUGGGCUUUAGCCAAAAAGGGUGGAACCGCGGAAAGAAUUUUUCGUCCCUUUG
RNAcentral lists this non-coding RNA (168 nucleotides) under Clostridium cavendishii. RNAcentral's name for it is "T-box sequence". It matches the Rfam family "T-box leader". Rfam says of the family: Uncharged tRNA acts as the effector for transcription antitermination of genes in the T-box leader family. T-boxes are found upstream of many aminoacyl-tRNA synthetase genes and some amino acid biosynthetic genes usually in Gram-positive bacteria. The anticodon of a specific tRNA base pairs to a specifier sequence within the T-box motif, and the NCCA acceptor tail of the tRNA base pairs to a conserved bulge in the T-box antiterminator hairpin. Lineage: Bacteria; Bacillati; Bacillota; Clostridia; Eubacteriales; Clostridiaceae. The record is from RNAcentral.